This is a long non-coding RNA of Vigna radiata var. radiata (mung bean), 255 nucleotides long. RefSeq lists it as uncharacterized. The transcript has 3 exons. The record is from RefSeq and is a predicted model, not a curated record. NCBI's taxonomy places the organism in Eukaryota, Viridiplantae, Streptophyta, Magnoliopsida, Fabales, Fabaceae.
ACAUUCUCAUAUCUCAUGACUGUCUCACAAAUGAACAAUAUUCAACCGUGACUCAAAUAAGAAAAUGCUCUGNUCUGCUCCGUCUUCUUAACAACAUCUUGGAUCUGAGUAAGGUGGAAUCUGGAAAACUGGUCCUAGAAGAUGCAAAAUUUGAUUUAGGAAGGGAACUUGAAGGGCUUGUAGAUAUGUUUUCUGUCCAGUGCAUUAACCACAAUGUGGAGACUGUUUUAGACUUGUCUGAUGAUAUGCCAAAGG